Molecule: ribosomal RNA, 497 nt
Filed under: uncultured bacterium
Lineage: Bacteria
Description: partial 16S ribosomal RNA
Rfam family: Bacterial small subunit ribosomal RNA
Source: RNAcentral
GAUGAACGCUGGCGGCGUGCCUAAUACAUGCAAGUCGAGCGAACAGACGAGGAGCUUGCUCCUCUGACGUUAGCGGCGGACGGGUGAGUAACACGUGGAUAACCUACCUAUAAGACUGGGAUAACUUCGGGAAACCGGAGCUAAUACCGGAUAAUAUAUUGAACCGCAUGGUUCAAUAGUGAAAGACGGUUUUGCUGUCACUUAUAGAUGGAUCCGCGCCGCAUUAGCUAGUUGGUAAGGUAACGGCUUACCAAGGCAACGAUGCGUAGCCGACCUGAGAGGGUGAUCGGCCACACUGGAACUGAGACACGGUCCAGACUCCUACGGGAGGCAGCAGUGGGGAAUAUUGGGCAAUGGGCGAAAGCUUGACCCAGCCAUGCCGCGUGAGUGAAGAAGGUCUUCGGGUUGUAAAACUCUUUUAUUAGGAAAGAAAAAAAGUAGAAGAAACCAUCCACGUCUUGACGGUACCCAAAGAAAAAGCAACGGCUAACUACGUG